AUUUAAUUCAACAUCGAGGUCACAAACUUAAUUAUUAAUAAGAACUUUUUAACUAAAUUAUGCUGUUAACCCUAGAGUAACUAUUUAAUAUAAUUUUUCCUCUAUUAAAAAUUUCUUUCUUCAAUUGUUACCCCAACAAAAUAUUUUCUAAAUAUGAAGCUUCUAGGGUCUUCUCGUCCCAAAAGUUAAUAAAAGCAUUUUUACUUUUAAUUUAAAUUCAAAAUUUUUAAAUAAAACUAUCCUUUUAGUUUCUACCCUUCAUUCCAGUUCUCAAUUAAAAAA
This 282-nucleotide ribosomal RNA is filed under the name Pichitus sp. n. MZSP 73001. RNAcentral's name for it is "partial large subunit ribosomal RNA". Lineage: Eukaryota; Metazoa; Arthropoda; Arachnida; Opiliones; Gonyleptidae. The record is from RNAcentral.